CCUGGUUGAUCCUGCCAGUAGUCAUAUGCUUGCCUCAAAGAUUAAGCCAUGCAUGUCUAAGUAUAAGCACUCCUUUUACUGUAAAACUGCGGACGGCUCAUUAAAUCAGUUAUAAUCUACAUGAUCAUAAAUCUCCUACAUGGAUAACCGUGGGAAUACUAGAGCUAAUACAUGAUUCACAAAUCAGGACCUUCUUAGGAAGGAAAUGAUGAAUUUAUUAGAUUAACCAACGUGGGGUAUUUAAACUGUUCAGAACUUGUCUCUGCAAUGGGCCUCAGUCUCUUUUUUGAGAUACUUUUGGUGAUUCAAAAUAACUAAUCUAAUCGCAGUAACAUUUAUUUGUUGGCGAUGAUACAUACGAAUUUCUGCACGAUUAACUGUCGAAGGUUGUAUAGAGGACAACUUUGGUGAUAAUCGUUGACGGGGAAUAAGGGUUCUAUUCCGGAGAGGGAGCCUGAGAAAUGGCUACCACUUCCAAGGAAGGCAGCAGGCGCGCAAAUUAUCCAAUUCCAAUUCGGAGAGAUAGUGACAAGAAAUACCAAUACAAUGCCAAUGGUGUUGUGUUUGGAAUGAGUGUAAUUUAAAACAAUUAUCAAGGAACGAUUGGAGGGCAAGUCUGGUGCCAGCAGCCGCGGUAAUUCCAGCUCCAAUAGUGUAUAUUAAAGUUGCUGCAGUUAAAAAGCUCGUAGUUGGAUGUCGGUUAUUGUGGAGAUUGUCUACUCUUUAAAGAGUACGUACAUAAUCCCAAUACCUUCUUUCUGGUAGUGGAUGAAAUACUUUGCUCCAGAUCUUUUACUUUGAGAAAAUUAGAGUGUUCAAAGCAGGCGUAACAAUGCCUUUGAAUAUAUUAGCAUGGGAUAAUGAAAUAAGACUUUUUGCCUUAUUCUCGUUGGUUCUUUUGGGCUUAAGUAAUGAUUAAUAGGGACAGUUGGGGUUAUCUGUAUUUGAUCGCCAGAGGUGAAAUUCUAAGACUGAUCAAAGACAAACUACUGCGAAAGCAUUUAACAAGGAUGUUUUCAUUAAUCAAGAACGAAAGUUGGGGGAUCGAAGAUGAUCAGAUACCGUCGUAGUCCCAACCAUAAACUAUGCCGACCAAGGAUUCGACAAUGUUAAAAUUGAAUGACCUCUCGAGCACUUAUAGAGAAAUCACAAGUAUUUGGGUUCCGGGGGGAGUAUGGUCGCAAGGCUGAAACUUAAAGGAAUUGACGGAAGGGCACCACAAGGAGUGGAAUAUGCGGUUUAAUUUGACCCAACACGGGAAAGCUUACCAGGUCCAGACACAAGGAGGAUUGACAGGUUGAGAGCUCUUUCUUAAUUUUGUGGGUGGUGGUGCAUGGCCGUUUCUAGUUGGUGGAGUGAUUUGUCUGGUUAAUUCCGUUAACGAACGAGACCUUAACCUAUUAAG
Molecule: ribosomal RNA, 1405 nt
Filed under: metagenome
Description: SSU rRNA
Rfam family: Eukaryotic small subunit ribosomal RNA
Source: RNAcentral